GACGAACGCUGGCGGCGUGCCUAAUACAUGCAAGUCGAGCGGAUGAAAGAGGAGCUUGCUCCUCUAGAUUCAGCGGCGGACGGGUGAGUAACACGUGGGCAACCUGCCCUGUAGAUUGGGAUAACUCCGGGAAACCGGGGCUAAUACCGCAUAAUACUUCGGACCUCAUGGUCCGAUGUUGAAAGACGGUGUCGGCUGUCACUACAGGAUGGGCCCGCGGCGCAUUAGCUAGUCGGUGAGGUAACGGCUCACCAAGGCCACGAUGCGUAGCCGACCUGAGAGGGUGAUCGGCCACACUGGGACUGAGACACGGCCCAGACUCCUACGGGAGGCAGCAGUAGGGAAUCUUCCACAAUGGGCGAAAGUCUGAUGGAGCAACGCCGCGUGAGUGAAGAAGGUUCUCGGAUCGUAAAACUCUGUUGUGAGGGAAGAACAAGUACCGGAGUAACUGCCGGUGCCUUGACGGUACCUCAUUAGAAAGCCACGGCUAACUACGUGCCAGCAGCCGCAGUAA
This 514-nucleotide ribosomal RNA is filed under the name uncultured bacterium. RNAcentral's name for it is "partial 16S ribosomal RNA". It matches the Rfam family "Bacterial small subunit ribosomal RNA", at positions 28 to 523 of the family's 1533-position model. The record is from RNAcentral.